This 132-nucleotide small RNA is filed under the name Citrobacter braakii. RNAcentral's name for it is "RtT sRNA". It matches the Rfam family "RtT RNA". From Rfam's summary of the family: This family represents a bacterial cis-regulatory element known as RtT RNA. Lineage: Bacteria; Pseudomonadati; Pseudomonadota; Gammaproteobacteria; Enterobacterales; Enterobacteriaceae. The record is from RNAcentral. RNAcentral also lists the same sequence under 4 other names.
UAUUCUGCCCAGACGGGAAGGAUGAGAAGCUUCGACUCAGGUUCGAUUCGAGCGUUAGCGAGAAAGCGUUGCCGCAGGCAACGACCCGAAGGGCGAAGCGCACCGCGCUGAGUAAUCCUUCCCCCACCACCA